RNAcentral lists this ribosomal RNA (462 nucleotides) under uncultured bacterium. RNAcentral's name for it is "partial 16S ribosomal RNA". It matches the Rfam family "Bacterial small subunit ribosomal RNA", at positions 355 to 835 of the family's 1533-position model. The record is from RNAcentral.
UGGGGAAUAUUGCACAAUGGGCGAAAGCCUGAUGCAGCAACGCCGCGUGAGUGAUGAAGGCCUUCGGGUUGUAAAGCUCUGUCUUUUGGGACGAUAAUGACGGUACCAAAGGAGGAAGCCACGGCUAACUACGUGCCAGCAGCCGCGGUAAUACGUAGGUGGCAAGCGUUGUCCGGAUUUACGGGCGUAAAGGAUGCGUAGGCGGAUUUUUAAGUGAGAUGUGAAAACCCUAAGCUUAACUUGGGGACUGCAUUUCAUACUGGAAAUCUAGAGUGCGGGAGAGGAGAAUGGAAUUCCUAGUGUAGCGGUGAAAUGCGUAGAGAUUAGGAAGAACACCAGUGGCGAAGGCGAUUCUCUGGACCGUAACUGACGCUGAGGCAUGAAAGCGUGGGUAGCAAACAGGAUUAGAUACCCUGGUAGUCCACGCCGUAAACGAUGAGUACUAGGUGUAGGAGGUAUCGA